This 250-nucleotide unclassified non-coding RNA is filed under the name plant metagenome. RNAcentral's name for it is "partial contains small subunit ribosomal RNA, internal transcribed spacer 1, and 5.8S ribosomal RNA". The stretch from base 204 to 250 matches the Rfam family "5.8S ribosomal RNA", at positions 1 to 47 of the family's 154-position model. The record is from RNAcentral.
GUAGGUGAACCUGCGGAAGGAUCAUUAACAAAUCAUUGCGGGCUUCGGCUCACAUUAACCCGGCCGCAAGGCCAGGUCUUGUAGACCUGUGUGUUGUGCUUGGUGGAUUGAUUGAUGAUGAUGAUUAUUCAUUCGACGAGCACGACUAGCAGGUCGACAUUAACGCUUGUUUGUUUGACUGUGUGAUGGAUCAAUAAAAUGACAACUUUUAACAAUGGAUCUCUUGGCUCUUGCAUCGAUGAAGAACGCA